This 702-nucleotide unclassified non-coding RNA is filed under the name Malassezia globosa. Its description in RNAcentral is "sequence contains 18S rRNA gene, ITS1, 5.8S rRNA gene, ITS2, 28S rRNA gene". The stretch from base 260 to 413 matches the Rfam family "5.8S ribosomal RNA". The record is from RNAcentral. Lineage: Eukaryota; Fungi; Basidiomycota; Malasseziomycetes; Malasseziales; Malasseziaceae.
GAUCAUUAGUGAAGAUUCAAGGGCCAGCCAUACAGACGUACAAUAAGUGUGUCUCUGGCGGCUCGUAUCCACUAUACAUCCAUAAACCCGUGUGCACUGUUAAGGAGUAAGAAAGAAGAAGGGGAAGGGAGAGUGCAUGUGCUUUGCAUAUAACUCUCUCUCUCUCUUCCUUUCUCUCUCUGGUUAAUUACAAACUCGUAUGGAUUUGUAUGAACGUGAGAUAUAUCGUUGGACCGUCACUGGCCAACAAAUAUAACACAACUUUCGACAACGGAUCUCUUGGUUCUCCCAUCGAUGAAGAACGCAGCGAAACGCGAUAGGUAAUGUGAAUUGCAGAAUUCCGUGAAUCAUCGAAUCUUUGAACGCACCUUGCGCUCUAUGGUAUUCCGUAGAGCAUGCCUGUUUGAGUGCCGUGAAUUCUCCCAUCCCAAGCGGUUUUUAUCAAAGAAUUGCUAGGCGAAGGGGUUGAGAUGGGCGUUGUUAUAACUGCUUUUCUUCUCUAGAAAAGCUCGCCCGAAAAACAGCUAACGCCUCUGGGCCACUUUGCAUCCGCUUCUCUGAGGGGAGAAGCGGCCAAGCGCGCUCUGAUCAUCAGGCAUAGCAUGAUACGUCAUUUGCUAUGCUGUAGGAGAGCAUUUGGUUGUGGUUAUACCGCGUGCGUCAUUUUUUUUUGCAAACGCAAAGAAAAAAAGCCCCCUUUCA